This 397-nucleotide ribosomal RNA is filed under the name uncultured bacterium. RNAcentral describes it as "partial 16S ribosomal RNA". It matches the Rfam family "Bacterial small subunit ribosomal RNA", at positions 523 to 918 of the family's 1533-position model. The record is from RNAcentral.
AUACGUAGGUGGCAAGCGUUGUCCGGAAUUACUGGGUGUAAAGGGCGUGUAGGCGGGGAUGCAAGUCAGAUGUGAAAUUCCGGGGCUCAACCCCGGCACUGCAUCUGAAACUGUGUCUCUUGAGUGCUGGAGAGGAAAGCGGAAUUCCUAGUGUAGCGGUGAAAUGCGUAGAUAUUAGGAGGAACACCAGGGGCGAAGGCGGCUUUCUGGACAGUAACUGACGCUGAGGCGCGAAAGCGUGGGUAGCGAACAGGAUUAGAUACCCUGGUAGUCCACGCCGUAAACGAUGGAUACUAGGUGUAGGAGGUAUCGACCCCUUCUGUGCCGGAGUUAACACAAUAAGUAUCCCACCUGGGGAGUACGGCCGCAAGGUUGAAACUCAAAGGAAUUGACGGGG